UAUAGGAUUUAUGCCUCAAGAGAAGGUAACCACAAAUGACCAUUUUAAAAUACAAAAGAUGAUUAGAGGCCACACACAACCCUUAAAAGAGAAAUCUUGUCCAAGGUUGCCAACACCAAAAGACAAACAACAAUGGCAACCUAGUAAAAUUAAUUUGCAAACUAACACCUAUGCUUUAUUUGAUUAUUUCUAUAGGUGGACGUUUGAUCCAGGAGGACAAGUUUUGAAGAAACAAGAUGCUGCUAUCCGAGAUCAAGCCUGAAGAUCUGAGGAUAGAUCUUCUCAAAAGAAGGAGGAGAUGAUGGACACCAUCCAGCCACAACCAUUCCCCUAAGCAAAAGCAUUGGAUUUGAGGACAAAUCCUUUUCAAGAGGGAGGGGAUGAUGGAAGAGGGCCCAAGCUCACCA
Molecule: long non-coding RNA, 407 nt
Filed under: Phaseolus vulgaris (common bean)
Lineage: Eukaryota; Viridiplantae; Streptophyta; Magnoliopsida; Fabales; Fabaceae
Description: long non-coding RNA (PVUL_LNC002176)
Source: RNAcentral